This 483-nucleotide ribosomal RNA is filed under the name uncultured bacterium. Its description in RNAcentral is "partial 16S ribosomal RNA". It matches the Rfam family "Bacterial small subunit ribosomal RNA", at positions 30 to 506 of the family's 1533-position model. The record is from RNAcentral.
AUUGAACGCUGGCGGCAGGCCUAACACAUGCAAGUCGAGCGGACGAAGGGAGCUUGCUCCUGGAUUCAGCGGCGGACGGGUGAGUAAUGCCUAGGAAUCUGCCUGGCAGUGGGGGAUAACGUCCGGAAACGGGCGCUAAUACCGCAUACGUCCAGAGGGAGAAAGUGGGGGAUCUUCGGACCUCACGCUAUCAGAUGAGCCUAGGUCGGAUUAGCUAGUUGGUGGGGUAAAGGCUUACCAAGGCGGCGUUCCGUAACUGGCCUGAGAGGCUGAUCAGUCACACUGAAACUGAGACACGGUCCGAACCCCUACGGGAGGCAGCAGUGGGGAAUAUUGGAAAUUGGGCGAAGGCCUAAGCCAGCCAGGCCGCGUGUGUGAAGAAGGUCUUCGGAUUGUAAAGCACUUUAAGUUGGGAGGAAGGGCAUUAAGUUAAUACCUUGCUGUUUUGACGUUACCAACAGAAUAAGCACCGGCUAACUUCGU